RNAcentral lists this ribosomal RNA (507 nucleotides) under Stutzerimonas xanthomarina. RNAcentral's name for it is "bacterial SSU rRNA". It matches the Rfam family "Bacterial small subunit ribosomal RNA", at positions 72 to 575 of the family's 1533-position model. The record is from RNAcentral. Lineage: Bacteria; Pseudomonadati; Pseudomonadota; Gammaproteobacteria; Pseudomonadales; Pseudomonadaceae.
AGGGGAGCUUGCUCUCUGAUUCAGCGGCGGACGGGUGAGUAAUGCCUAGGAAUCUGCCUGGUAGUGGGGGACAACGUUUCGAAAGGAACGCUAAUACCGCAUACGUCCUACGGGAGAAAGCAGGGGACCUUCGGGCCUUGCGCUAUCAGAUGAGCCUAGGUCGGAUUAGCUAGUUGGUGAGGUAAUGGCUCACCAAGGCUGCGAUCCGUAACUGGUCUGAGAGGAUGAUCAGUCACACUGGAACUGAGACACGGUCCAGACUCCUACGGGAGGCAGCAGUGGGGAAUAUUGGACAAUGGGCGAAAGCCUGAUCCAGCCAUGCCGCGUGUGUGAAGAAGGUCUUCGGAUUGUAAAGCACUUUAAGUUGGGAGGAAGGGCAGUAAGUUAAUACCUUGCUGUUUUGACGUUACCGACAGAAUAAGCACCGGCUAACUUCGUGCCAGCAGCCGCGGUAAUACGAAGGGUGCAAGCGUUAAUCGGAAUUACUGGGCGUAAAGCGCGCGUAGG